ACACCGAACGCCCCUCUCAGUUCUCCUCGCCUCGUCACCUACCUUCCCCACCCUUAUCCCUUCACUAUCUCCCUUGCUCCCUAUUCCAUGGUGGCCAGAAGCCCAGAACUCUCUCUCUACCUCCUCCGGCCGCCCCUCCUCUUCGUCCCACCGCUGUCGCGAGGUCUCGCCCUCUCCCCACUCUUCUCAGCUCAUCCUCGUCAAAUCGAUCGCCGAAGUGCCCGAGGAUCCGCUCGAGGUCGGCAUGGUCGCUGGGCGCGGGACGAAGGCCGACGCGGAGGUGCGGAACUCGUCUCCACCAGAUUGGCGGCCGUGGCAAUCAUCCGUUGCAACCUCCGCGCCCGGUGCUUUCAUCUCCAUCUCGCUCGUCGGCAGCUCCCACCACCCUGUGAGUGCGACUGAGCUGCGCCCUGCCCUGCCCAGGUGGGCCAGUAGUUCCGCGGUGGCUGGUCCCCUGCAAGUGCAAGCCGGCGCCGGCUUAGAAGAAAUGGAUAUUGUAGAUCAUCUAAGAGUCAUGGAAUUUGUUCCAUCCUAAAUUUUUGGGACUCUGGAAUAAACACAAAGAUGGGGAUGGGGAGGCAUACCUGCCUGGCAUAAACAUCAACCCGAACCUUUUGAGCGUUGUACAGAAGUAAUUGACAGGUUUACUUCAUGAUAGUCUUGGAUUUGGUUUAGCCAAAAUGAUCAGGUACUUACUUACUUAAUUUCUGAAUAUACCAGUUAUUUGUUGAAUGCAUCAGUUAGACUACGGUGAUACAGGAAAGCUUCUCUUUAACUGAAACAACUUAAUUUUGGAGGAGGACUACCCUGUUUCCAAAUCUUAGCUCCGCCAUUGAUUCUACCUGAAUUUACUUUAGUAGUUCUUCUCUUGCAAAUUUGAGCCUAUAUGUUUGGUUUCAUAUUUUUGUUUAUCAUGCAAUACUUAUCCUGCAGCCAUCUAAUAUGCAAAUUUGAUAAUAGAAGAUGACCUCAUUUAUGUACAGAAAAAUGCAUAUUCUUGGACUGGGAUUUCUUCUACACUCUCUUGGACCGGGUUACAAAUAGAUCAUACUGACUGGGUUUUAUUCAUUCAGUCAUACAGAUUUGAAUACUAUACUGUUAAAACAAUAUGAUGGAUGGCUCCAGUUUGAUGCACUGUUAAAAUUUCAUGUUGAAGUCACAUGAGGUAGAUCUAUUAUGGUUUGUACAAAAAUGAUGCAUUGAUCAGCACACUGUUGUAAACAUGCAAAUUUGAGAGUGAAGAACAUUGUUAUAAAGAUGCAAACUUGACAGGGAUUAGGGAAGCAAUGAAGUGCGCACAUAUAUGUUAAAUAGAAUUUCCUGUAAAAUCACGAACUGGUCGGCCCCAUCACAUUAACCCAAUUGAAUAUCAUGUAAAAUCAUACCAUCUUUCCUUGGUGCGGGCAGGUGCGUUGCCUGAGGAGUUAGUCGGCGCCAACGUCGGUGGCUGCGGAAGGUGGCGAUGGCGCAACAGUGGCUUGGCGGCGCCGAUGUCUCACUGCCGUGUGCGUCUGAAAGAUCGAGAUGAUUCGCGUACGUUUAGCCAUUUGUUGUGAGCUGGAGGUGUUAAUUGCCGUUAAUUGUGGCUAAUUUUCUGUACUGAUAGGCUUAUUUAUUUGUUUUGUGGACGCGAACGCAGUAGGUGGAACUGUUCGAUCUUUUUUUUUCGGGAACGUGGAACUGUUCGAUGGAUGGCAGAGUUUCGUCCGCUAUAGUAUAAAUUGCUAAACGUACACAGGUGAAGGUUGGCUUUUA
Molecule: long non-coding RNA, 1755 nt
Organism: Triticum dicoccoides
Lineage: Eukaryota; Viridiplantae; Streptophyta; Magnoliopsida; Poales; Poaceae
Exons: 2
Source: RefSeq, a predicted model, not a curated record